CUGGGUGCAGACUGGAUGUAGUCGCCGUGUGGAGGCAGAAGGGUUUUCGUGGAGCUCCCCAUGCUGUGUGAGGAAGAGGAUGCUUUGCACUGUGUGAAACUAGCAAAAGGGCAGAGGUACGGAUAGCCUCUCCCACACAAAUCCACGCUGAGUAGAGGAAUAGCACUUUCUGGACACAGAAUUCUUUGGAUGGUCACUUAGAAUUAAAUGAACAGCGCUGUCACCUAUAGUGGAAGAAGGCAGAACACCCUGUUUCUGCUCUCAGACAGUUGAGCUCCAUCUUCUGACAUGAACAUGUGUGAUCCAGUGCUCCCUGUUCUGAUGGGGUGCUGUCUGACCCUGUUUACAUUUCCACUGGCUCAUGUUCCUCAGCUUAUAGAUGAGAUGUUCCUCAGAGAGCUUCAGGGACAUCGCAGUGUGUAUUUAAGGAAUAUUCACAAAGAAAAUUCCUGAGGAAUGAAGAAAAGACCACAGGUUGGACAUCUUUACUCUUACAAGUACAUGUUGAAAAAGCCAAAGUAGCAAUCUUGGCAGCUGCGUGUGGCAGCAGCCAGACCUUGCAGCACAGAGGGCACUUCUUUGAAUUCCUGUGUGUUACAACUGCAGCUUCCAGCUUUCCGCGAGCCUGGGCUGAUCAGCUCUGUGGAAAACAAUCCAUGUUAAUCUCUAUGAAAUCAGUGUGACCGGAUCUGCAGCCCAGCAGCAGUUCAGCAGCAAUGGAGCAUGGCUUUGGUGUUCAUUGACAGAGGAAUCCUUCUCGGUUGUGCUUUGGUCCAGAAGCCUUGUGUGUGUACAGCUGGAGGGUUGAACACUUGGAAUGGAAUGUGACUCUUAAUGUAUACUGUGAUAAGUAGACGGCUAUAGCGAGCUUAUGCAUAAAUAGCAAAUUAAUUGUAGUACUUCAGCAUUGCAGUGAAAGCGGAAAGCCUCAGGAAACCGGGCGAUUUUAGUGAAACUAAGCAUCAGCCUCUGAAACCCAAAUGAGCCCAGCUUGGUGCCCUGUGCGGAACGCUUUGGGCCGGAAGGGAACUUCACACCAACGACACGAGGAAUCGAGGCAUUCCAGGCGCAUUACGAAGGCCGCGAGCGCCGAAUCUCCGC
This is a long non-coding RNA of Gallus gallus (chicken), 1101 nucleotides long. NCBI's taxonomy places the organism in Eukaryota, Metazoa, Chordata, Aves, Galliformes, Phasianidae. The record is from Ensembl.